UGGAUCAAUGACGACUACUGGUGGCUUAUGAGUCAUAUACGAUGAAUACAUGUCUGGAUCUCUGCGGUCUAA
Molecule: small nucleolar RNA, 72 nt
Organism: Diceros bicornis minor
Lineage: Eukaryota; Metazoa; Chordata; Mammalia; Perissodactyla; Rhinocerotidae
Product: small nucleolar RNA SNORD113/SNORD114 family
Exons: 1
Source: RefSeq, a predicted model, not a curated record